RNAcentral lists this long non-coding RNA (229 nucleotides) under Elaeis guineensis (African oil palm). RNAcentral's name for it is "long non-coding RNA (EGUI_LNC008876)". Lineage: Eukaryota; Viridiplantae; Streptophyta; Magnoliopsida; Arecales; Arecaceae. The record is from RNAcentral.
AUGGUGAUUCCAAGCGAUAUAACUCUUGAUGAAUGGAUGGAUUAUAUGAAGGAAUGUAUCUAGUGAAAAGAUGCUCAAGUAUCCAAUUAUACUCACCUUUUCACAUCUGUAAAUAGGAAAGGUAUCGUACUUUUCAUUCAUCAUAACAACAUCACUUUCCAUUCGAAUACUAUCAGAUUAGAAAAGAGAAUUGAGCCUACUAACUGAGUGAACUCAAGUGCAUCUAUUG